UAAGCAGGUUAGUAUAUCAAUACCGCUGACUUAGGAUCAGCAAAUAAGUAAUCACUUACCUGCC
Molecule: transfer RNA, 64 nt
Filed under: Lamprotula scripta
Lineage: Eukaryota; Metazoa; Mollusca; Bivalvia; Unionida; Unionidae
Description: tRNA-Leu
Source: RNAcentral